GUAGUCGGAUCUUAGGGUUUGUUCAGGAAGUACCUUUAGCUUCUUGUAGGGAUGGUGGCGCGUGGAGGCGUACGGUUGCUCAUUCCUCUGUUCCGGUUGAAGUCUUCGUGUGGUUUACUUAGGACAGUGGGUGAGAGGCGUGUAGAAGUAGAUUCAUUGUUCUGCCUUGGCAUCUUGGUUUAACGAGUUCUGUCUUCUCUCUUCGUGAGAGCUUUGGAGAGUUCCUUUAUCUCAAAGGUGGGUUCUAACCCUUGUUGCUGGCGUUGUGGUGUUGGCUCGUGGAGAGUGACAUCACUGCGGUGUCGGAGGCAGUCGUCCAUGGCUACAUCGAGGCGGUGAAGUCACCUCUCUCUCAUCAAUUUGUUCUCUUCCCGGCUAUCUGAUUCAGUCACCUGCAGGAGGCAUGUCGACUUGCUCCUUGCGGGUUUAUCUCCUGUUUUGUUAAUGUGUAGUCUGAACCGUGCCACCGGUUUCAUUCAUCGACAUCAAAGACUGAUCUUUCUUCGGUUCUCGAAGAGGACGACUGACGAGGAGCUCGGAAGAUCCUUGUGGUCUGAGGAGUUUUCCCCUCCUUGGUGGCUCAGUCGGCUGUGUGACUUAUCCCAGUACCGUGAGUAGCUUCUCAUGGUGAUGUUGCAUAGCUAUAGUUUUUGCAGGUGUUGGAGUGUUAGCUGGAUCAAGUAGCAGCCGUCUUUCCGGACCCGUCUUUCUGCAUCUCCGUCCUUGGUGCGAGGUUUCCUUCGAUCUCUUCGUCUCCGGGCGGUUUCAGCUUUGUAGAAGAUUGUAUAGUGGGAUAUGGAGCGAUUUUCAAAGGUUUAUGCUCUAUAUCCCUCUCUUCUAUAAUGCCUUCGUGUUUAAUGGAAGAGACGAUUAUAAGUUCGAGACUCACCGAGAGCUAGCUACAUCAAAAACAGCAUGAAUAGUCCCGGCAUCCGAAGAAAUGAGGAGAACCUCACCUAUUCAUGGUCAUUGUUGAAGGUCGAGAACGGUACCCGAAUUUCCUAAUGAUUUAACGGCUAGCGGAACGUGUUGGGUUUAGUGGGUGGGCGAAGUUAGUAUGUUUAUGUUUGGAUUUGGGAAAUUUUUGUCGGGCUUGUAAUCGGAUCUUAUUCCCGUUUAUCGGGUUGAUUAAUAUAA
RNAcentral lists this long non-coding RNA (1137 nucleotides) under Brassica napus (rape). Its description in RNAcentral is "long non-coding RNA (BNAP_LNC026805)". Lineage: Eukaryota; Viridiplantae; Streptophyta; Magnoliopsida; Brassicales; Brassicaceae. The record is from RNAcentral.